UAAACGACUCUCGGCAACGGAUAUCUCGGCUCACGCAUCGAUGAAGAACGUAGCGAAAUGCGAUACUUGGUGUGAAUUGCAGAAUCCCGUGAACCAUCGAGUUUUUGAACGCAAGUUGCGCCCGAAGCCUUCUGGCUGAGGGCACGUCUGCCUGGGCGUCACGC
This 164-nucleotide ribosomal RNA is filed under the name Bidens beckii. RNAcentral describes it as "5.8S ribosomal RNA". It matches the Rfam family "5.8S ribosomal RNA". Rfam says of the family: 5.8S ribosomal RNA (5.8S rRNA) is a component of the large subunit of the eukaryotic ribosome. It is transcribed by RNA polymerase I as part of the 45S precursor that also contains 18S and 28S rRNA. The record is from RNAcentral. Lineage: Eukaryota; Viridiplantae; Streptophyta; Magnoliopsida; Asterales; Asteraceae.